RNAcentral lists this ribosomal RNA (305 nucleotides) under uncultured bacterium. RNAcentral's name for it is "partial 16S ribosomal RNA". It matches the Rfam family "Bacterial small subunit ribosomal RNA", at positions 508 to 807 of the family's 1533-position model. The record is from RNAcentral.
ACAGCAGCCGCCACGGGAACACGGAGGGUGCAAGCGUUAAUCGGAAUUACUGGGCGUAAAGCGCACGCAGGCGGUCUGACGAGUCAGAUGUGAAAUCCCCGGGCUUAACCUGGGAACUGCAUUUGAAACUGUCAGGCUGGAGUCUUGUAGAGGGGUGUGGAAUUCCAGGUGUAGCGGUGAAAUGCGUAGAGAUCUGGAGGAAUACCGGUGGCGAAGGCGGCCCCCUGGACAAAGACUGACGCUCAGGUGCGAAAGCGUGGGGAGCAAACAGGAUUAGAUACCCCGGUAGUCCCUGUCUCUUAUAC